GUGUUUCGAGUUACUCCGGAACACCCGGGAUUUUUCGUAUUUAGCCACGCCGGUCACGUGAUAUGAGCAAAAUGUUCCACAGGGGUACUUCCGGUUAAUUUUGUUUACACUGGUAACAAAAUUGUUUUUGACAAAAUAUAGAUUUUGCGGCACAAACUGUCGCAAAUCAGAUAAAGGAUAGCAAGGGAUAUAUAUUUACUUGGGAAGAUGUCAAAGUUUACCUUUUCCCAAACCCGGGAAAAGCGUUCACGCAGAGGAAACGAUGGCGUCAUUUGUGUAGAAAACCACGAGCAGCCGAAAUUGAGUGCGAUUAUUACAUUCCGUGAAAGCUGAACCAACAAAGAAACAUCAUUGUUCUAGCCAGUUUGCUUAUAUUAACUUUUAGGAAAACCAAGAGGUUGAUAACAAUGGCUGAUCUGCAUAUAAUGACUGCUAGUUAUUGGCUGGUAUGCAGUGAAAGGGAGCUAAAAAGGAGUAAAAAGUUCAUAUCAGCCAGGUGAGAAUUAAUUUCUUCUUUUUUGUGUGUUAUACAUAUGUAAUUCUUUUCUUUUGCUGCUUCAAAUCUUGUGUAUUUGAAAAUUUUCAGUCUAAUAUUUGGCAAUGUUAUAGGUAGUGUGGUUUAAAUAAACCAGUGUUAAGGAAUAUCCAGUAAUGGCAUGACAUCAUGAGAGUUUGGCAUACCGACAUUCAGAUGAUUAAUGAUGAAACUGAAGACCUCAAGUGAAAGGCAUGGAAAAUUAUCCUGUUCCCAUUAACCUGGAAAAGAGGAGGGAUGCCACAAUAUUGAUAAUAGACUUUUGUCAAUUUGAGAAGCAAAGAUGUAAAAAAAAAAAUAAAAAAAAAAAAUAAAUAAAUAAAUAAAUAAAUAAUGCUGAAAUUAUAAUUCAUGUAUUUGUUAAAAAUACUGUUCACUGUACAUACAUGUAUAUUUUUUUUAACUUAUUUGGAAAUACAUGAAGUAAUUCAUAUUAAAACUGAAUGUAUGAGUUUUCAUGAUUUUUAUCAAUAAAGCUUACCAUAUUUAUUGUACAAAUAUCUGAUUUCCCCUAUACAUUGUAGUCAUAUGAGAGCUUGCUUGCAUUCAGAGAUAUGACAUCAUGUAUAAAGCCGAGUUAAACAACUUCAAAAUCUACCCAACAUGUUUUAAAUGAACACAAAAGAUUCUUCCUAAUUUCUUCUCUCUUUUUUUCAAUUUUGUUCAUAAAUUUAUAUUUAAGUCAAUUCACCUUUUUCAAACUUUUGAUGCAUAUGACGGAUUUCCUCUGUAUUGCUAUAUCUAUCAGGCCCAGCACAAUCUCUAUAUUUAACUAUAUAGUUUUAUAAAGCUAUUUCAAACAGCUUCAUUAAGCUAGUUUCGAUUAAAUUUCUUAAGUGCAAUGACACAUAACAAUAUACAUGUACUUUGAACUAACCACAACACUAUUCUAUGUAUAGAUCAUAUGUCAUUUUAAGAAUUUUCAUGAAAAGAGAAUUUCUUUUGUAUUGAUAACUGUCCACUGCCUUAUGUGUGUCGAAGCUUUGAUAAGUAUAUGAUGACUUUACAAUGUGGAAUCUGUAACAACUUAAUAAUCCUAAACAUUUGACAAUUUUGAAUCAAAAUUCUUCCUAAGGUACAUAGUUUAAGAAGCUUUUUUUGUUUACAGUGUGUUGUUUCAAGUACAAGGAUGAAAUAUUUUCACUUAGAAAUUAAAUUUUUAUGCUUUAAAAAUAUAUUUGAUAGAAGAUUUGAAAUAGUUAUAUCAAGCAAUUUCAAUUAGCUUUAAAAAGCUAUAUAGCUUGAUUAGCAUAUUUAUAUAGCUAAUUAUACUAGAGAUUGUGCUGGACCAGUCUAUGAGCACAUAUUGAAAUUAUGUUGCUGAAAGGAAUUAUAAUAUUACCUUAAUCAUGAUCAGAUAUAUAUUUUGUUCAGUGAUAUAAAUAUGAGCAGUAAUCACAAAUACCUACUGGAUUGUGAAAAGUCAAUAAAAUGACUACAACAAUAAAUAGUCAUGCUAAAAAUUCUUCCAAUUACAUAAGUAUAUCAUUAGAAGUCAAACUCCAAAGACUUAAUUUGUAGCACAAGUAUUAGUUGAGAAAUAAUUAUUUUCAAAUUCAAUCUAAUUAAAAUUAGAUCUUUGAUCCGCUCAUGCAAUCGCUACACAAAGGACUAUACACCAGUUUCAUAACAAGUGCAGUCUUUUCUUAGAGAUCAGCUGAGCAUAGUGAAGAUUCAAGUAAAUUAAAAGUCAAAUCAAUCUAAUUAAAAUUAGAUCUUUGAUCCGCUCAUGCAAU
Molecule: long non-coding RNA, 2271 nt
Organism: Ostrea edulis (European flat oyster)
Lineage: Eukaryota; Metazoa; Mollusca; Bivalvia; Ostreida; Ostreidae
Exons: 2
Source: RefSeq, a predicted model, not a curated record